AAAUUGCUGGCCCGGAUAGGCGGGAUCUUCGAAUCCCGGUCGAAGCAGAAACAGUCGGUCUUUUUCCAUGAGUUCAACUUUCAUUCAGCUUACC
This 94-nucleotide transfer RNA is filed under the name Ensifer sp. M14. RNAcentral describes it as "tRNA-Gly". Lineage: Bacteria; Pseudomonadati; Pseudomonadota; Alphaproteobacteria; Hyphomicrobiales; Rhizobiaceae. RNAcentral also lists the same sequence under 1 other name. The record is from RNAcentral.